Molecule: ribosomal RNA, 253 nt
Filed under: uncultured bacterium
Lineage: Bacteria
Description: partial 16S ribosomal RNA
Rfam family: Bacterial small subunit ribosomal RNA
Source: RNAcentral
UACGUAGGGUGCGAGCGUCAAUCGGAAUUACUGGGCGUAAAGCGUGCGCAGGCGGUUCGCUAAGACAGGUGUGAAAUCCCCGGGCUUAACCUGGGAAUGGCGCUUGUGACUGGCGGGCUGGAGUACGGCAGAGGGAGGUGGAAUUCCACGAGUAGCAGUGAAAUGCGUAGAGAUGUGGAGGAACACCGAUGGCGAAGGCAGCCUCCUGGGCCAGUACUGACGCUCAUGCACGAAAGCGUGGGGAGCAAACAGG